Molecule: ribosomal RNA, 292 nt
Filed under: uncultured bacterium
Lineage: Bacteria
Description: partial 16S ribosomal RNA
Rfam family: Bacterial small subunit ribosomal RNA
Source: RNAcentral
GUGCCAGCAGCCGCGGUAAUACGUAGGUGGCAAGCGUUGUCCGGAUUUAUUGGGUUUAAAGGGUGCGUAGGCGGUUCCUUAAGUCAGUUGUGAAAUACGGCAGCUUAACUGUCGAGGUGCAAUUGAUACUGGGGAACUAGAGUACUGAUGAGGUAUGCGGAAUGGACGGUGUAGCGGUGAAAUGCUUAGAUAUCGUCCAGAACACCGAUAGCGAAGGCAGCAUACUAAGGAGUAACUGACGCUGAGGCACGAAAGUGUGGGGAUCAAACAGGAUUAGAAACCCGUGUAGUCC